This 231-nucleotide unclassified non-coding RNA is filed under the name Hevea brasiliensis (rubber tree). Lineage: Eukaryota; Viridiplantae; Streptophyta; Magnoliopsida; Malpighiales; Euphorbiaceae. The record is from RNAcentral.
AGCUCAAUACAAUCUUUCAUGGCACCAGGAGGAGCCAGAUGUGCCUGGGAAUUAUUAUUAUUAUGAGCGGAGAGACUAAGAAAAGAAGCGAGGUUUAGAGCUGAAUGAGCUUGUUUCAAGGUGUACUGAACAGAGAGAUCAAAGAGCUCUUCUGGUGUUGCUGGUAGAGUACUGGUUUCCAGUGACACAAGGAAAGAUUCACAGGCAGUUUUGUAAAGGGUGGCUUUACAG